This 863-nucleotide ribosomal RNA is filed under the name uncultured bacterium. RNAcentral's name for it is "bacterial SSU rRNA". It matches the Rfam family "Bacterial small subunit ribosomal RNA", at positions 1 to 912 of the family's 1533-position model. The record is from RNAcentral.
CCUUAGAGUUUGAUCCUGGCUCAGAGCGAACGCUGGCGGCAGGCCUAACACAUGCAAGUCGAACGGACCCUUCGGGGUUAGUGGCGGACGGGUGAGUAACACGUGGGAACGUGCCUUUAGGUUCGGAAUAGCUCCUGGAAACGGGUGGUAAUGCCGAAUGUGCCCUUCGGGGGAAAGAUUUAUCGCCUUUAGAGCGGCCCGCGUCUGAUUAGCUAGUUGGUGGGGUAAUGGCCCACCAAGGCUACGAUCAGUAGCUGGUCUGAGAGGAUGACCAGCCACAUUGGGACUGAGACACGGCCCAAACUCCUACGGGAGGCAGCAGUGGGGAAUCUUGCGCAAUGGGCGAAAGCCUGACGCAGCCAUGCCGCGUGUAUGAUGAAGGUCUUAGGAUUGUAAAAUACUUUCACCGGUGAAGAUAAUGACUGUAGCCGGAGAAGAAGCCCCGGCUAACUUCGUGCCAGCAGCCGCGGUAAUACGAAGGGGGCUAGCGUUGCUCGGAAUUACUGGGCGUAAAGGGAGCGUAGGCGGACAUUUAAGUCAGAGGUGAAAUCCCGGAGCUUAACUUCGGAACUGCCUUUGAUACUGGGUGUCUUGAGUGUGAGAGAGGUAUGUGGAACUCCGAGUGUAGAGGUGAAAUUCGUAGAUAUUCGGAAGAACACCAGUGGCGAAGGCGACAUACUGGCUCAUUACUGACGCUGAGGCUCGAAAGCGUGGGGAGCAAACAGGAUUAGAUACUCUGGUAGUCCACGCCGUAAACGAUGAUUGCUAGUUGUCGGGAAGCUUGCUUCUCGGUGACGCAGCUAACGCAUUAAGCAAUCCGCCUUGGGGAGUACGGUCGCAAGAUUAAAACUCAAAGGGAAUUG